This 928-nucleotide unclassified non-coding RNA is filed under the name Hevea brasiliensis (rubber tree). The record is from RNAcentral. Lineage: Eukaryota; Viridiplantae; Streptophyta; Magnoliopsida; Malpighiales; Euphorbiaceae.
CCGAAAUUAUUAUUCUUAGCCAUAUACAGAACAAUCUCGGAGUGUACAGUACGAACGAAAAUGUUUUUCAAUUUCCACAUAUUUGGGUGGCUUAAACUAUGUUUUCUAUUGGACUUUAUCUUCCUCCAAUUUUAAAGAAAAUAACUUAUGUACCAAACAUAGGGAAAACAUUUUCAAAACUCUCUUACAACCCUCACCCCGCCUUCGGCACGAACCAACCCAACGUCCUGACCCCAACUCAGGGCUCAAUCUUCGAUCAAUGACUCUCUUGCAUCACCUACACGGACUCCUGCAACACCUGGAGAAGCAGAAAAAGCUUAAGAGCGCACUAGAUCUCCAUCGAUUGUAGCCCGGCUGAGGCUUUAGAUUUCUUUUUUCCUUUCCUAUUUCCGUUUCUAUUUUCUCUUAUUUUUGGCUUUUCAUCUACAGUAGGUUGUGUGCUUUGCAGAUGUUGAUGAAUGGCACCUAAUGGAUCUGACUGGAAAGCAGGAUGAUUAAUAACUGCUUGUAAUUGAUUGUCUUCCUUCAACACUAAAUUUUUCCUAGUUUUACUUUUCAACUUGAACUCUGCAGGUUUUGGUUGCUGAGAGGCUUUCAAGUCGGGGAGAAACUCUGUAAGUGUAGAAAGAUCAUAUGCCUUCAAUUUCUUUUGCCUGCUUCUUACUUUCUUCUUCUUAGCAAUAGCCUUGUUGGUAGAUAACGAAGCAACUGUCUGUCUAACCUUAGCAUAGAAGUCCAGCUUCUUCUCAAAUUUACGUUCAGCUCGAGCGGCAGCAUCUCCACGUGAUGUUGUCUUCCCCAUGCUUCAAAGGGCAGCGGCCUUUGCUGUAAAAACACAGUGAAAACUCAGGAAGGAAUAAGAACUCUAACUGAUGAAGACGGGCCUAAUUUUGUAUCCGGGUAACUGGUUGUAUUAGGCCUGGAACUG